This 329-nucleotide unclassified non-coding RNA is filed under the name soil metagenome. RNAcentral's name for it is "partial contains 5.8S ribosomal RNA, internal transcribed spacer 2, and large subunit ribosomal RNA". The stretch from base 1 to 120 matches the Rfam family "5.8S ribosomal RNA", at positions 35 to 154 of the family's 154-position model. The record is from RNAcentral.
GAUGAAGAACGUAGCGAAAUGCGAUAAGUAGUGUGAAUUGCAGAAUUCAGUGAAUCAUCGAAUCUUUGAACGCACAUUGCGCCCCUUGGUAUCCCGAGGGGCAUGCCUGUUCGAGCGUCAUUUCACCACUCAAGCCUGGCUUGGUGUUGGGCGACGUCGUCUUUGGGGACGCGCCUCGAAACGCUCGGCGGCGUGGCACCGGCUUUAAGCGUAGCAGAAUCUUUCGCUUUGGAAGUCGGGGCCCCGUCUGCCGGAAGACCUGCUCGCAAGGUUGACCUCGGAUCAGGCAGGGAUACCCGCUGAACUUAAGCAUAUCAAUAAGCGGAGGA